This 577-nucleotide ribosomal RNA is filed under the name uncultured bacterium. Its description in RNAcentral is "bacterial SSU rRNA". It matches the Rfam family "Bacterial small subunit ribosomal RNA", at positions 346 to 916 of the family's 1533-position model. The record is from RNAcentral.
AGGCAGCAGUGGGGAAUUUUGGACAAUGGGCGCAAGCCUGAUCCAGCCAUGCCGCGUGCGGGAAGAAGGCCUUCGGGUUGUAAACCGCUUUUGUCAGGGAAGAAAAGCUCCGGGUUAAUACCUUGGAGUCAUGACGGUACCUGAAGAAUAAGCACCGGCUAACUACGUGCCAGCAGCCGCGGUAAUACGUAGGGUGCAAGCGUUAAUCGGAAUUACUGGGCGUAAAGCGUGCGCAGGCGGCUUUGCAAGACAGAUGUGAAAUCCCCGGGCUUAACCUGGGAACUGCAUUUGUGACUGCAUGGCUUGAGUGCGGCAGAGGGGGAUGGAAUUCCGCGUGUAGCAGUGAAAUGCGUAGAUAUGCGGAGGAACACCGAUGGCGAAGGCAAUCCCCUGGGCCUGCACUGACGCUCAUGCACGAAAGCGUGGGGAGCAAACAGGAUUAGAUACCCUGGUAGUCCACGCCCUAAACGAUGUCAACUGGUUGUUGGACGGCUUGCUGUUCAGUAACGAAGCUAACGCGUGAAGUUGACCGCCUGGGGAGUACGGCCGCAAGGUUGAAACUCAAAAGAAUUGACGG